AUUAGCCAUGCAUGUCUCAGUACAAGCCGCAUUAAGGCGAAACCGCGAAUGGCUCAUUAAAUCAGUUAUGGUUCCUUAGAUCUUACACUUUUUACAUGGAUAACUGUGGUAAUUCUAGAGCUAAUACAUGAAACUUGUACCCCGACUUUACGGAAGGGGUGCUUUUAUUAGAACAAAACCAAUCGGUCGGCUUGUCCGUCCGUUACCUUGGUGACUCUGAAUAACUUUGUGCUGAUCGCACGGUCCUAGCACCGGCGACGCAUCUUUCAAAUGUCUGCCUUAUCAACUGUCGAUGGUAGGUUCUGCGCCUACCAUGGUUGUAACGGGUGACGGGGAAUCAGGGUUCGAUUCCGGAGAGGGAGCCUGAGAAACGGCUACCACAUCCAAGGAAGGCAGCAGGCGCGCAAAUUACCCACUCCCGGCACGGGGAGGUAGUGACGAAAAAUAACGAUACGGGACUCAUCCGAGGCCCCGUAAUCGGAAUGAGAACACUUUAAAUCCUUUAACGAGGAUCUAUUGGAGGGCAAGUCUGGUGCCAGCAGCCGCGGUAAUUCCAGCUCCAAUAGCGUAUAUUAAAGUUGUUGCGGUUAAAAAGCUCGUAGUCGGAGGUGUGUCUCGGACGGUUGGUUCGCCGCUUGCCGGUGCUCAACUGGCCGGUCCGGACGUCCUGCCGGUGGGGCUGUAAAAGGCUCCGUUAUCCUUCUUUGGUCCUCUUCAUUGAGUGCCUUGGUGGGCCGGCACGUUUACUUUGAACAAAUUAGAGUGCUCAAAGCAGGCCGUUGGUCGCCUGAAUACUGUGUGCAUGGAAUAAUAGAAUAGGACCUCGGUUCCAUUUUGUUGGUUUUCAGAACUCGAGGUAAUGAUUAAUAGGGACGGACGGGGGGCAUUCGUAUUGCGACGUUAGAGGUGAAAUUCUUGGAUCGUCGCAAGACGAACCGAUGCGAAAGCAUUUGCCAAGAACGUUUUCGUUGAUCAAGA
RNAcentral lists this ribosomal RNA (978 nucleotides) under Sympetrum frequens. RNAcentral describes it as "SSU rRNA". It matches the Rfam family "Eukaryotic small subunit ribosomal RNA", at positions 44 to 982 of the family's 1831-position model. Lineage: Eukaryota; Metazoa; Arthropoda; Insecta; Odonata; Libellulidae. The record is from RNAcentral.